Molecule: unclassified non-coding RNA, 331 nt
Filed under: soil metagenome
Description: partial contains 5.8S ribosomal RNA, internal transcribed spacer 2, and large subunit ribosomal RNA
Rfam family: 5.8S ribosomal RNA (bases 1-120)
Source: RNAcentral
GAUGAAGAACGUAGCGAAAUGCGAUAAGUAAUGUGAAUUGCAGAAUUCAGUGAAUCAUCGAAUCUUUGAACGCACAUUGCGCCCGCUAGUAUUCUGGCGGGCAUGCCUGUUCGAGCGUCAUUUCAACCAUCAAGCCCCAGGCUUGUGUUGGGGGCCUGCGGCUGCCGCAGCCCCUGAAAAGCAGUGGCGGGCUCGCUGUCAUUCCGAGCGCAGUAGUUACAUCUCGCUCCGGGCGUGGCGGUGGGCACCUGCCGUGAGACACUCCUUCUAAGGUUGACCUCGGAUCAGGUAGGAAUACCCGCUGAACUUAAGCAUAUCAAUAAGCGGAGGA